This is a long non-coding RNA of Nothoprocta perdicaria, 205 nucleotides long. RefSeq lists it as uncharacterized. The record is from RefSeq and is a predicted model, not a curated record. Lineage: Eukaryota; Metazoa; Chordata; Aves; Tinamiformes; Tinamidae. The transcript has 3 exons.
UGGAUUCCUGCACAUAGAUGAGCCAUAUUCAGUCUGGGAAGUCUUUGAGCUGCAAGUUGCCGGAGGCUGGAGGUGAAAGAUCCAUUGUGGACCUUCCUCAGUCAGAUUGCUCUGAAUGCUUUGGAGGAGAGGCACAAGUUGUAUAUAAAGGGGCUGAGCUGCUGGAUGCUUUGCAGCAGGGUCRGCUUUGUGGCACUGCCUCCCC